ACCAUUUUAUAGCCUAGCUUGUUAUCCAUAAAUAAUUAACUUGGGUUGUCUGACUUUAGUUGUUCUAAAGCACAUCUAUUAUUAUACAAUAUUAGUUUCCCAUAAUCUGCAAAUAAUGUCUUUUAACUAUUCUGGGUUGUAUGCUUGCAUCUUUAACCAUAGGAAGCCUAUUGCAUGCACUAGAUGAUUGAGUGACCUGGUGGAUUUCUUGUUUUGUUUUCGAUUUUUUUUUUUUAAUACUAACCAGAACAUGUGUUUUUUAAUUGUGAAUAGUACUUUAGCUUUAGCUAUUCAUAGAAUGUAUUUGCUUGACUAACUUAUGGCCUUUUUUGCUAAUGCUUCAUGGUUGUCCUACAACCAUUUAGGACGCUGCAUUGGGAUACAGAUCCAUCAGUUCUUCAGCUUCACUCAGAUUCCGAUUUGGGACGAGGACCUAUUAAACUUGGAAUGGCUAAAAUCACGCAAGUCGACUUU
This 474-nucleotide small RNA is filed under the name Pan troglodytes (chimpanzee). RNAcentral's name for it is "retained intron". The record is from RNAcentral. Lineage: Eukaryota; Metazoa; Chordata; Mammalia; Primates; Hominidae.